CGGGGUCUGCAGCGUGCGGCAGGUACGCAUAGCCCCUGGGCCAAUAAACUCCUCUCGGGAGCUGUCCCUUGCCGGGACCGUGGUCUCGGCGAAACGGCACCCACCUGGUUAUCCAGGUCCAAGAGGCGCUUUCACGCCACCGGCGCCGUGGUCCCGCC
This 158-nucleotide non-coding RNA is filed under the name Sneathiellales bacterium. Its description in RNAcentral is "6S RNA". It matches the Rfam family "6S / SsrS RNA". Rfam says of the family: E. coli 6S RNA was the first non coding RNA to be sequenced, but its function was unknown until recently. It consists of 184 nucleotides that fold into an extended hairpin structure with a large single-stranded internal bulge. Lineage: Bacteria; Pseudomonadati; Pseudomonadota; Alphaproteobacteria; Sneathiellales. The record is from RNAcentral.